GGAUAACCUACCCUUAGGACUGGGAUAACCCUGGGAAACUGGGGAUAAUACCGGAUAGGCAAUUUUUCCUGGAAUGGUUUUUUGUUUAAAUGUUUUUUCGCCUAAGGAUGGGUCUGCGGCCGAUUAGGUAGUUGGUUAGGUAACGGCUUACCAAGCCAUUGAUCGGUACGGGUUGUGAGAGCAAGAGCCCGGAGAUGGAACCUGAGACAAGGUUCCAGGCCCUACGGGGUGCAGCAGGCGCGAAACCUCCGCAAUGUGAGAAAUCGCGACGGGGGGAUCCCAAGUGCCAUUCUUAACGGGAUGGCUUUUCAUUAGUGUAAAGAGCUUUUGGAAUAAGGGCUGGGCAAGACCGGUGCCAGCCGCCGCGGUAACACCGGCAGCUCUAGUGGUAGCAGUUUUUAUUGGGCCUAAAGCGUCCGUAGCCGGUUUAAUAAGUCUCUGGUGAAAUCCUGUAGCUUAACUGUGGGAAUUGCUGGAGAUACUAUUAGACUUGAGACCGGGAGAGGUUAGAGGUACUCCCAGGGUAGAGGUGAAAUUCUGUAAUCCUGGGAGGACCGCCUGUUGCGAAGGCGUCUAACUGGAACGGUUCUGACGGUGAGGGACGAAAGUUAGGGGCGCGAACCGGAUUAGAUACCCGGGUAGUCCUAACUGUAAACGAUGCGGACUUGGUGUUGGGGUGGCUUUGAGCUGCUUCAGUGCCGAAGGGAAGCUGUUAAGUCCGCCGCCUGGGAAGUACGGUCGCAAGACUGAAACUUAA
RNAcentral lists this ribosomal RNA (757 nucleotides) under uncultured archaeon. Its description in RNAcentral is "bacterial SSU rRNA". It matches the Rfam family "Archaeal small subunit ribosomal RNA", at positions 102 to 859 of the family's 1478-position model. The record is from RNAcentral.